RNAcentral lists this ribosomal RNA (301 nucleotides) under uncultured bacterium. RNAcentral describes it as "partial 16S ribosomal RNA". It matches the Rfam family "Bacterial small subunit ribosomal RNA", at positions 509 to 807 of the family's 1533-position model. The record is from RNAcentral.
CAGUAGCCACGGUAACACGAGGGGGGCAAGCGUUGUUCGGAAUUAUUGGGCGUAAAGGGUGCGUAGGCGGUUUGACAAGUCUUGUGUGAAAUCUCUUGGCUCAACCCAGAGUCUGCACGGGAAACUGUCGGGCUAGAGGAUGGGAGAGGUGAGUGGAAUUUCCGGUGUAGAGGUGAAAUUCGUAGAUAUCGGAAGGAACACCUGUGGCGAAAGCGGCUCACUGGACCAUUUCUGACGCUGAUGCACGAAAGCUAGGGGAGCAAACAGGAUUAGAUACCCCCGUAGUCCCUGUCUCUUAUAC